AUAUAUAGGCUGGGGCUACUAUACUCAUAUGAGUAUAGAGUCUUUUAUACUCAUAACUUUUCGGCCGUUCAGAUGAAAAAAUGUACGGUUGGGAUGAGAGUAGUUACGAUUAGGUUGAUAGUGGGCCCCUAGGGUUGAGUGGAUGGUUGGUUGAAUAGUAUAAUCUAACGGAUGAAAAUGAUUAAAGGGUAGAUCAAACGGUAAAAAAAUUAUGAGUAUAAAAGGCUCUAUACUCAUAAGAGUAUAGUAGCCGAACUCAUAUAUAUAUAUAUAGUAGGGCUAUUGUGCUAUUAGGAGCACAACAAAUCUUGUGCUCCUAAGUUCUCAACCGCCCAUCAAAUUUGAUUGGUGGUUAGGGUGAAAGAGAGAAGAGAAAUUGA
RNAcentral lists this long non-coding RNA (380 nucleotides) under Ananas comosus (pineapple). Its description in RNAcentral is "long non-coding RNA (ACOM_LNC033383)". The record is from RNAcentral. Lineage: Eukaryota; Viridiplantae; Streptophyta; Magnoliopsida; Poales; Bromeliaceae.